CUUGGUCAUUUAGAGGAAGUAAAAGUCGUAACAAGGCUUCCGUAGGUGAACCUGCGGAAGGAUCAUUAGUGAACGCCCUCACGGGCUUAUAACUAUUCCAAACCUCUGUGAACCGUGCCCUUCGGGGCUAUUUUACAAACAUGGUGUAAUGAACGUCAUAUAUCAUAACAAAACAAAACUUUCAACAACGGAUCUCUUGGCUCUCGCAUCGAUGAAGAACGCAGCGAAAUGCGAUAAGUAAUGUGAAUUGCAGAAUUCAGUGAAUCAUCGAAUCUUUGAACGCACCUUGCGCCCUCUGGUAUUCCGGAGGGCAUGCCUGUUUGAGUGUCAUGUAGACUCAAUCCCUCGGGUUUCCGAGGAGAUUGGACUUGGGUGUUGCCGCUCUGCCGGCUCGCCUUAAAAGACUUAGCGGGAUAGCACCGUAGUCGGCGUAAUAAGUUUCGUCGGUGAAGGUUGUGAUGACUGCUUACAAUCGCCCUCGGGCAAUUUUUGACUCUGACCUCAAAUCAGGUAGGACUACCCGCUGAACUUAAGCAUAUCAAUAAGCGGAGGA
This 553-nucleotide ribosomal RNA is filed under the name uncultured Cryptococcus. RNAcentral's name for it is "eukaryotic LSU rRNA". The stretch from base 177 to 330 matches the Rfam family "5.8S ribosomal RNA". The record is from RNAcentral. Lineage: Eukaryota; Fungi; Basidiomycota; Tremellomycetes.